CAGUGAGGAAUAUUGAGCAAUGGGCGCAAGCCUGACUCAGCAACGCCGCGUGGAUGAAGAAGGCCUUCGGGUUGUAAAAUCCGUUUUCUGGGGGAAGAUAAUGACGGUACCCCAGGAAUAAGUUCCGGCUAACUACGUGCCAGCAGCCGCGGUAAAACGUAGGGGACGAGCGUUAUCCGGAUUUACUGGGCGUAAAGCGCAUGUAGGUGGCUUGAAAAGUUGGACGUGAAAGCUCCCGGCUUAACUGGGAGAGGUCGUUCAAAACUGGCAAGCUUGAGGUUGGAAGAGGAGAGCGGAAUUCCCGGUGUAGUGGUGGAAUGCGUAGAUAUCGGGAGGAACACCAGUGGCGAAAGCGGCUCUCUGGUUCAAUACUGACACUGAGAUGCGAAAGCGUGGGGAGCGAACGGGAUUAGAUACCCCGGUAGUCCACGCUGUAAACGAUGGAUACUAGGUGUAGGCGGUCAUUAACCCCGUCUGUGCCGAAGCCAACGCGUUAAGUAUCCCGCCUGGGGACUACGGCCGCAAGGUUA
This 530-nucleotide ribosomal RNA is filed under the name uncultured Chloroflexota bacterium. RNAcentral describes it as "bacterial SSU rRNA". It matches the Rfam family "Bacterial small subunit ribosomal RNA", at positions 352 to 896 of the family's 1533-position model. Lineage: Bacteria; Bacillati; Chloroflexota. The record is from RNAcentral.